Molecule: transfer RNA, 70 nt
Filed under: Sphaerodactylus townsendi
Lineage: Eukaryota; Metazoa; Chordata; Lepidosauria; Squamata; Sphaerodactylidae
Description: tRNA-Ala
Source: RNAcentral
GGCUAUGGCUCAGCGGUAGAACAUCUGCUUGGCAUGCAGAAAGUCACGGGUUCAAUUCCCAGCAUCUCCA